GUCCGUCCGACUCGAAGGAGAGCGAGGAGGAGGCGGAGCCAGAGGGCACCAUACUUAUGGAUUGCAAUCAGUAAUUCAUCCAAGCUCUUACCAAGUUGGCUGGAAUGGACUUGGAAAUAAUGUGGGAGUACUCUAUGCUGGUACUGCAUGGCAAGGACUGAAGUAUCUGGAGGAAACUUCAGUGGCCUCAUCUGGGGAAUUGUGUGCCUGCCUGCCUCUACCCUGGCCUUCCUUUACCUUUUGUUUUUACCUGUACUCUUAUAACACCCAUCUGGACCAAGGGACUUUGGUACUGGGAAAACUCUGGCUUCAUCUAAGGAAUUGUGUUCCUGCCCUGUCUGUUAUAGUGCACAUUAUGGUUGUAUUUUGAAUUUAAUUCUUUGUUCUUAUUCCAAUUUUAUAUUGUUACAUAUUUUUCUGUAGUAUGAAAUGUGUACAGUCAUCAUUUCUGUGUGUGAUGAUUCUGUUCCUGCAGACUGUGUUAUGCAAAUUGUGUAAGGAAAGUGGAAGUGAUUAUUAGUUCCUCUAAAGGCUGCUUUCUUAUCACCACCAAUUAUUUUUACAGUGCUGUUUUGCUUAGUGUGAUACUGUUUUAUACUGGGAAAAUUGCAGCUUCCUUAUCAUUUAUCAACUGAAAUCACACAAAGUGAAAUCAUGUUAUAUGAGAGAUGAUUAUAUGUGAACCUUUC
RNAcentral lists this long non-coding RNA (689 nucleotides) under Salvator merianae (Argentine black and white tegu). RNAcentral's name for it is "lncRNA (ENSSMRG00000018594.1)". The record is from RNAcentral. Lineage: Eukaryota; Metazoa; Chordata; Lepidosauria; Squamata; Teiidae.